GUUUGCAACAGCACAAACAUCUCAGCACAAGAUGCUGGAGGGCAGAGAGUGAACAUGCUGUCCAUGGCUGUGCUGGGUUUGAGAGUCCUGCUGGCAAAGAGCAUCGCCUUCAAUACCCUCAUGAGCAUCAAGUUGUUUCUUUUCUGAGACCUGGGGAAUGAACCCAAAGAAGAGCAGGAAAGAACGUGAACCAGCAGCACAAGGGGGCUGAACAAGCAGGGCCAGAGCUGCUGACAGAGACCAGCCAGGACACGAGGCAGCACCUUCCCCUGAAGACACGCAACACUCUGCACUCCUGCUGGCCAGCUGAUUUACACUGAAGAGUUUUAGGUGCUUUUGCUGUUUCCUCUCCUCUGAACACUGAGGAGAGUGGAUUUAU
This is a long non-coding RNA of Zonotrichia leucophrys gambelii, 379 nucleotides long. RefSeq lists it as uncharacterized. The transcript is spliced from 3 exons. The record is from RefSeq and is a predicted model, not a curated record. Lineage: Eukaryota; Metazoa; Chordata; Aves; Passeriformes; Passerellidae.